This 301-nucleotide ribosomal RNA is filed under the name uncultured bacterium. RNAcentral's name for it is "partial 16S ribosomal RNA". It matches the Rfam family "Bacterial small subunit ribosomal RNA", at positions 509 to 807 of the family's 1533-position model. The record is from RNAcentral.
CAGUCGCCGCGGUAAUACGGAGGGUGCAAGCGUUAUCCGGAUUUAUUGGGUUUAAAGGGUCCGUAGGCGGACUUAUAAGUCAGUGGUGAAAGCCUGUCGCUUAACGAUAGAACUGCCAUUGAUACUGUAAGUCUUGAGUAUAUUUGAGGUAGCUGGAAUAAGUAGUGUAGCGGUGAAAUGCAUAGAUAUUACUUAGAACACCAAUUGCGAAGGCAGGUUACCAAGAUAUAACUGACGCUGAGGGACGAAAGCGUGGGUAGCGAACAGGAUUAGAUACCCCAGUAGUCCCUGUCUCUUAUAC